AAUUUUCUUAUCAAAAAUGAAAACAUUAAUGUUCUUUUGCUUAAAAGAACAUUAGUGUAGAAAGUGUAUGUGAAUGAAUACAUUGUGAUUGCAUCGGUUAACAGAAUCACAGAAUGUUUCUAAAAAAAAAGCUACACAGAAGAACAGGCCCACAAAAUGCGAACAGGCUUUACAAAAAUGCGCAUAUUUUUAUUGAAACAGAUAAAAACUUCAGAACCAAAAUAGGAGAAAGACCACCCACACAGUUCCUAUGAUGCAGAAUUAGCAUAUCUGGGCUGUGAUUGUGCAUGGUUAUGCUCCAUGUUGGACACGCUCGCACUCAGUAGCUGUGCGCUUCGACUGGGAAACACGAUGAAGUGGCCGCCUCAGGGAUUAACGGAGGCAAAGGGAUGCAGCUCUUUUACAAGGAUCAUGAUAGCUGUAGAGCACUUCUGAACACAGCCUUGCUUGGUAAUGACUGUUGCAGCUUUUUUGUUUCUGUUACAGAUUUUUGUUUCUCUGUUUCCCAGAAUAAAAGGACUUGCAAAAACUGGCCGAGUCUUUUUCCCCGAGGUGCGUUUACGAGGAUCUCUCUCCAUCCUCAGUGGGUCAUGUCUCUGGCACUGCUUUUAUGUGCGAAGUAAAGGCUUAUCUCUCUUUGUGCCCUCCUCCAGUACCUGUCAUCAUUGUGACAUGCAGCUCUGUCAUCUACCGAAGAGCUCAUUCUGGCUCUCAGCUGUGGAUGAAGGAAGGACAUGCUGGCCAGGAUGGAGAGAUGAGGCAAACAGUUUGGGGGAUUUCAGUUUAGUCUCUGCAGAGUGAUUCCUGCCAAUGUGGAGAUGUUAACCCAUGGAGAAGAAGAGUUGGAUGGUUUUUGAUAGCAAGAACUCUGUGGUAAAGUUUUGAGGUGUGAGCUUUGGCCAGGAAUUAGAUCCAGUUGGGAACUCUGAGGAGUGACUGGGGGAGUGACCCUUAGAGGCUGAUUUCUGGAUAACUGCAUCCACCAUGACCGACUUCCACCCAUCUGCCUCUGUGGGCAGUUCCAAGGGCAGCUCUCUUGUUUCCAGUGACUGGAACAUCACGGGCAGCGGCCCCUGGUUGUUGGCCUUCAUGUUGACUGCCAUCAUCUUCAUGACCGUCUGUGGCAACAUCCUGCUCAUCGCUUUGGUGUUUGCCCACCGCUCUUUGCGCUGCACCUCCAACUGCUUCCUGGUGUCUCUGUUCUUCUCCGACCUGAUGGUGGCGUUGGUGGUCAUGCCCCCAGCCAUGCUCAACGUGCUGUGCGGCUCUUGGAUGCUGUGGCCUGCCUUUUGCCCGGUUUGGCUUUGCUUCGACGUCAUGUGCUGCAGUGCGUCCAUCCUGAACUUGUGUGUGAUUAGCCUUGACCGCUACCUCUUCAUCAUUUCGCCACUACGUUACAAGCAGAGGAUGACCCCACCCAGGGCUCUACUUCUGGUUGGGGCCGCUUGGAGUCUGGCAGCCCUGGCCUCUUUCCUACCCAUUAAGAUGAACUGGCACAGUUUGGGUCACGGGGAUGAAUACUUGCUAAUUCCUCAAGUCAGCCUUGGUAACAUCAGUUCCUUCCAUGAAAAGCAAUACCCGGACUCCUACUUCCAGCAGUCGCCAAUGGGAGGUGCGUCCUUUCAGUGCCGCCUGCGGGUGACCCUGCCCUUUGCUUUGGUGGCAUCCGUGCUUACCUUCUUUUUGCCCUCCAGCGCCAUUUGCUUCACCUAUUGCCAGAUCCUUCUGGCAGCACGGAAACAAGCAAAGAGAGUGGCGGCAUUGAGCCACCCUCCUCACCCUCAUCCGUCCUUUGGAGAACCUGCCCAGCCUCCUUCGCCCGGUGUUGCUUCCGGGUCAGCUCAGCAAGAUGGAUGUGACUGCGGUCAUCAAGGACCUGCCAUGUCUCAAAAUGCACUGCUGUCUGUGACCAGUGAGCGCCGUCUUGCUCACAAGCAGGGUCGGAGGGCACUGAAGGCUAGCCUCACACUAGGAGUCCUUCUGGGACUUUUCUUCAGCACCUGGUUACCCUUUUUCAUCACAAACAUGGCUCAGGCAGUGUGUGAGUGUGUCCCACUUGCGCUGUUUGACGCCAUCACCUGGCUGGGCUACUGUAACAGCACCAUAAACCCUAUCAUCUACCCGCUAUUCAUGAGGGACUUCAAGCGAGCUCUGGCUAAGCUCCUGCCCUGCUGUUCAUCACGGUCACCCAGGAGACCCUCGCCGGCUCUCUCCAUCUCUUUGCGCAACUCAGGGGAGCCCAACAUGGCCAGCAACCUGACCUCGCCUCUGGACUCCGACCCUGCACACCCAGCAGCCACUGCCACAGACAGCGUCAACCUGCUGGAUGCCGAACACGCUGGGAUUGAGUUGCCUCUGCUUCUUCCCAACCAGGUGGACAAUCUGGACUGAAUCACUGUGGAAGCACAGCCAGUUAGUGACUGAGGAAUUACACGGGGAGGAUGGGCCAUUGAACUGCAACCUACCUGGAGUGCCCAGAAGUGUGAAAGUGUUCAAAGUUCAGAGACCUGGCCAUGGAAGGCUGAAACCCAAUCACCACUGAUCAAGAAAUAUAAGCUGAAAGACUGGACCAAGAUACAGAUCUUUCAAAGGUUUUAUGGACUGCUGAGAUGAGAGUGGCUCUUGACGGGCCAGAUGUUAUUGAUAAUGGAUAGGCACAUGGCUGGAUCAGUAACGUGACAACUUGUCCAUGGACAAGUUGUCCCCCAUGGACAACUUGCUCUUCUUAAAUGGGAGAUUUAAGGUGAAGAAAAGUGGUACACGUUUCUGAACAAUGUCGGAAGGCUGUGGAUGCUGCUGCAUAAAAAGUUGAUCAUCAACAGAUCGGCAACUGGCGGGUUCCAUAAAAGGAAGGUUGCUCAAAAGAAGGGUAGCGAUACUGUGAGAAGGAAAUUUGCCCUGCGACAGACUGGCAACCUAUCCAGGGUGAACCCCGCCUCUCGCCCGGAACAUAGCUGGAGAUAGGCACCAGCAACCCUCCCGACCCCAUUAGGGACAAGGGUGAAUAGAAAAUGGAUGGAUGGAUGAGAAGGAAAUUCCCCUGCAGAUGCAAUUUAUGUGCUUUGAUGCAGAACUGAGGAAAAGUACUAUGUACAUUCAAGUGAGUUUUUCACAUGCUUUUAUUUUUAUUUUCUUUAUUUUGUGUGCGUGUUAGGUUAUUGUCUGAGGAUAAAUGUUCAGUUUUAUUGUUUAUGUUUAAACAACAAAAUAUUAAAAUCAUAAAAAACAUCGGUUUUGAUGCUUUUUGGUCUAAAUAACACUGAAUGUAGUCAGAUUUCAGUGUAUUUAGGUUAGUUUUGGUGCUUGUAGUUUGAUAUUGCCGACAGAAAAGGUUUGUGUGGCUGGCGCACAUUUUCAGAGCAGGUCAAAAGUUUGCGUAUAUUUACAUUCAUUUUUAAACAAGCUGAUUAAGCAUAAAAUAUAACACCACACAUUUUUUAUGCAUACGCACGCUUUAUACAUGAGGUCUGUGACGGAGGAGCCGUCACGAGUUAGGACUUAAUUAGAGUCCGUGUCAGCAUGCAAGCACGCCCGCACAUAUACACACCAACACAUACACAAUCACUAACUUUUUUGUUGCAGCUUAAACUGAGGCAGUUCAUCGUGGGUGCACACACGGUGUUCCUACUUCAGUUAAACAUUCAUCCUAAACCCAUUAUUUUCAGCAUCAAACAUUUUCCUGGUUUUAUUUUCAAGUAGGGUUUUGUUUUUCAGAUGGUGGCUUGCUGGGAGGGAGUCACAUGAUGACUGCAUGAUGUCAUCAGAAUAGUACCAAGUGUUUUCUAUUAAAUUGAGUAUUGUAUUUUUGUUUACAAGUUUAUUUAUUUAUUUUUCUUAUUAUUAUUAUUGUUAUUAUUAUUAUUUUUGUAUACUUUAAGAGUUUAUUUGAGUAAUUGCUUAGAUUUUGAUUAUUUGGAGUUGUCUGUGGGCGGAGCCUGUGGCUUUAAAAGCAGGGCUCUGCUCCACGGGCAGUCAGUCUGUUGUUAGACUCACGCUGGAGGUGAUAGACUGUUGAUGGACUGUUGAACUGAAGCUGAAUAAAAUCCUCUAAAUCCUCUAAAGCAAUCUCCAACCUGGACUAGUCAUUAUGUUUGGCUAAAUCAUAAGAGAACACACAAGGCCCCUAAUCAUUAG
Gambusia affinis (western mosquitofish) is the source of this 4134-nucleotide RNA transcript. It is a transcript of the gene named 5-hydroxytryptamine (serotonin) receptor 6, with no coding region annotated. The transcript has 5 exons. Lineage: Eukaryota; Metazoa; Chordata; Actinopteri; Cyprinodontiformes; Poeciliidae. The record is from RefSeq and is a predicted model, not a curated record.